Molecule: ribosomal RNA, 475 nt
Filed under: bacterium BCM26-2
Lineage: Bacteria
Description: bacterial SSU rRNA
Rfam family: Bacterial small subunit ribosomal RNA
Source: RNAcentral
CAGUCGAGCGGAACGAGUUAUCUGAACCUUCGGGGGACGAUAACGGCGUCGAGCGGCGGACGGGUGAGUAAUGCCUAGGAAAUUGCCCUGAUGUGGGGGAUAACCAUUGGAAACGAUGGCUAAUACCGCAUGAUGCCUACGGGCCAAAGAGGGGGACCUUCGGGCCUCUCGCGUCAGGAUAUGCCUAGGUGGGAUUAGCUAGUUGGUGAGGUAAGGGCUCACCAAGGCGACGAUCCCUAGCUGGUCUGAGAGGAUGAUCAGCCACACUGGAACUGAGACACGGUCCAGACUCCUACGGGAGGCAGCAGUGGGGAAUAUUGCACAAUGGGCGCAAGCCUGAUGCAGCCAUGCCGCGUGUGUGAAGAAGGCCUUCGGGUUGUAAAGCACUUUCAGUCGUGAGGAAGGUGGUGUAGUUAAUAGCUGUAUCAUUUGACGUUAGCGACAGAAGAAGCACCGGCUAACUCCGUGCCAGCAG